This 808-nucleotide ribosomal RNA is filed under the name uncultured bacterium. RNAcentral describes it as "bacterial SSU rRNA". It matches the Rfam family "Bacterial small subunit ribosomal RNA", at positions 61 to 876 of the family's 1533-position model. The record is from RNAcentral.
GUCGAGCGAGGUCCAUCCAGUGGUAACACUGGUGAAGACCUAGCGGCGAACGGGUGAGUAACACGUGAGAAACCUGCCCCGAAGACUGGGAUAACUCUCCGAAAGGAGAGCUAAUACCAGAUGCCCUCACCGGGCCGCAUGACUUGGUGAGGAAAUGGAUUCCGCUUCGGGAGGGUCUCGCGGCCUAUCAGCUUGUUGGUGAGGUAACGGCUCACCAAGGCUUCGACGGGUAGCUGGUCUGAGAGGAUGAUCAGCCACACUGGGACUGAGACACGGCCCAGACUCCUACGGGAGGCAGCAGUGGGGAAUCUUGCGCAAUGGGCGAAAGCCUGACGCAGCAACGCCGCGUGGGGGAUGAAGGCUCUCGGGUUGUAAACCCCUUUCAGCAGGGAAGAUUAUGACGGUACCUGCAGAAGAAGCCCCGGCCAACUACGUGCCAGCAGCCGCGGUAAUACGUAGGGGGCAAGCGUUGUCCGGAUUUAUUGGGCGUAAAGAGCUUGUAGGCGGCUUGGUAAGUCGAGUGUGAAAACUCCAGGCUCAACCUGGAGACGCCAUUCGAUACUGCCAUGGCUAGAGUCCGGUAGAGGAGCACGGAAUUCCUGGUGUAGCGGUGAAAUGCGCAGAUAUCAGGAGGAACACCAGCAGCGAAGGCGGUGCUCUGGGCCGGUACUGACGCUGAGAAGCGAAAGCGUGGGGAGCGAACAGGAUUAGAUACCCUGGUAGUCCACGCCGUAAACGUUGGGCACUAGGUGUGGGUCCCUAUCGACGGGAUCUGUGCCGUAGCUAACGCAUUAAGUGCCCCGCCUGG